AGCGAACGCUGGCGGCAGGCUUAACACAUGCAAGUCGAGCGGGCGUAGCAAUACGUCAGCGGCAGACGGGUGAGUAACACGUGGGAACGUACCUUUUGGUUCGGAACAACACAGGGAAACUUGUGCUAAUACCGAAUAAGCCCUUACGGGGAAAGAUUUAUCGCCGAAAGAUCGGCCCGCGUCUGAUUAGCUUGUUGGUGAGGUAACGGCUCACCAAGGCGACGAUCAGUAGCUGGUCNGAGAGGAUGAUCAGCCACACUGGGACUGAGACACGGCCCAGACUCCUACGGGAGGCAGCAGUGGGAUAUUGGACAAUGGGGCAACCCUGAUCCAGCCAUGCCGCGUGAGUGAUGAAGGCCCUAGGGUUGU
This 369-nucleotide ribosomal RNA is filed under the name uncultured bacterium. RNAcentral's name for it is "bacterial SSU rRNA". It matches the Rfam family "Bacterial small subunit ribosomal RNA", at positions 29 to 426 of the family's 1533-position model. The record is from RNAcentral.